AUUGAACGCUGGCGGCAGGCCUAACACAUGCAAGUCGAACGAGUGGCGGACGGGUGAGUAAUGUCUGGGAAACUGCCUGAUGGAGGGGGAUAACUACUGGAAUCGGUAGCUAAUACCGCAUACCAUCGGAUGUGCCCAGGUGGGAUUAGCUAGUAGGUGGGGUAAAGGCGCACCUAGGCGACGACCCCUAGCUGGUCUGAGAGGAUGACAAGACACUCUGGAACUGAGACACGGUCCAGACUCCUACGGGAGGCAGCAGUGGGGAAUAUUGCACAAUGGGAGAAAGCCUGAUGCAGCCAUGCCGCGUGUAUGAAGAAGGCCUUCGGGUUGUAAAGUACUUUCAGCGGGGAGGCGUUACCCGCAGAAGAAGCACCGGCUAACUCCGUGCCAGCAGCCGCGGUAAUAC
RNAcentral lists this ribosomal RNA (406 nucleotides) under uncultured bacterium. RNAcentral's name for it is "partial 16S ribosomal RNA". It matches the Rfam family "Bacterial small subunit ribosomal RNA", at positions 30 to 526 of the family's 1533-position model. The record is from RNAcentral.